Molecule: ribosomal RNA, 731 nt
Filed under: uncultured bacterium
Lineage: Bacteria
Description: bacterial SSU rRNA
Rfam family: Bacterial small subunit ribosomal RNA
Source: RNAcentral
AACAGGAUUAGAUACCCUGGUAGUCCACGCUGUAAACGAUGUCGACUUGGAGGUUGUGCCCUUGAGGCGUGGCUUCCGGAGCUAACGCGUUAAGUCGACCGCCUGGGGAGUACGGCCGCAAGGUUAAAACUCAAAUGAAUUGACGGGGGCCCGCACAAGCGGUGGAGCAUGUGGUUUAAUUCGAUGCAACGCGAAGAACCUUACCUACUCUUGACAUCCAGAGAGUUUGCUAGAGAUAGCUUAGUGCCUUCGGGAACUCUGAGACAGGUGCUGCAUGGCUGUCGUCAGCUCGUGUUGUGAAAUGUUGGGUUAAGUCCCGCAACGAGCGCAACCCUUAUCCUUUGUUGCCAGCACGUAAUGGUGGGAACUCAAAGGAGACUGCCGGUGAUAAACCGGAGGAAGGUGGGGAUGACGUCAAGUCAUCAUGGCCCUUACGAGUAGGGCUACACACGUGCUACAAUGGCAUAUACAAAGAGAAGCGAACUCGCGAGAGCAAGCGGACCUCAUAAAGUAUGUCGUAGUCCGGAUUGGAGUCUGCAACUCGACUCCAUGAAGUCGGAAUCGCUAGUAAUCGUAGAUCAGAAUGCUACGGUGAAUACGUUCCCGGGCCUUGUACACACCGCCCGUCACACCAUGGGAGUGGGUUGCAAAAGAAGUAGGUAGCUUAACCUUCGGGAGGGCGCUUACCACUUUGUGAUUCAUGACUGGGGUGAAGUCGUAACAAGGUAACC